UAAUAAGUGUUUUAUGGCACUUUUUAAAUCCAUAUCCACCUUGUGUGCAAUGUCAGUCGGUUUUCUUUUUCGUCAAGAAAAAAAGGAUCGACCAAACAUCAACUUUUUCUAAUUGAACUUUUGUCUGAAAACUAUUAUGAAUAAACUAAUUCAAAAUA
This 158-nucleotide unclassified non-coding RNA is filed under the name soil metagenome. Its description in RNAcentral is "partial internal transcribed spacer 1". The record is from RNAcentral.